UACGAAGGGGGCUAGCGUUGUUCGGAAUUACUGGGCGUAAAGCGUGCGCAGGCGGUUUGUUAAGACAGGCGUGAAAUCCCCGGGCUUAACCUGGGAACGGCGCUUGUGACUGGCAGGCUAGAGUACGGCAGAGGGGGGUGGAAUUCCACGUGUAGCAGUGAAAUGCGUAGAGAUGUGGAGGAACACCGAUGGCGAAGGCAGCCCCCUGGGCCGAUACUGACGCUCAUGCACGAAAGCGUGGGGAGCAAACAGG
Molecule: ribosomal RNA, 253 nt
Filed under: uncultured prokaryote
Description: partial 16S ribosomal RNA
Rfam family: Bacterial small subunit ribosomal RNA
Source: RNAcentral